This 67-nucleotide transfer RNA is filed under the name Marmota monax (woodchuck). RNAcentral describes it as "tRNA.Ala". The record is from RNAcentral. Lineage: Eukaryota; Metazoa; Chordata; Mammalia; Rodentia; Sciuridae.
GUUGUGGCUCAGCGGUAGAGUGCUUGCCUAGCAUGUGCUAGGCCCUGGGUUCAAUCCUCAGCACACA